RNAcentral lists this ribosomal RNA (464 nucleotides) under uncultured Desulfuromonadales bacterium. RNAcentral describes it as "partial 16S ribosomal RNA". It matches the Rfam family "Bacterial small subunit ribosomal RNA", at positions 338 to 794 of the family's 1533-position model. Lineage: Bacteria; Pseudomonadati; Thermodesulfobacteriota; Desulfuromonadia; Desulfuromonadales. The record is from RNAcentral.
CCUACGGGAGGCAGCAGUGGGGAAUUUUGCGCAAUGGGGGCAACCCUGACGCAGCAACGCCGCGUGAGUGAUGAAGGCCUUCGGGUCGUAAAGCUCUGUCAGAGGGGAAGAAAUUCAGGUGGUGAACAACCAUUCUGUUUGACGGUACCCUCAAAGGAAGCACCGGCUAACUCCGUGCCAGCAGCCGCGGUAAUACGGAGGGUGCGAGCGUUGUUCGGAAUUAUUGGGCGUAAAGCGCGUGUAGGCGGUUUUUUAAGUCUGAGGUGAAAGCCCCGGGGUCAACCGGGAAAGUGCAUUGGAUACUGGCAGACUUGAGUACGGGAGAGGAGAGUGGAAUUCCCAGUGUAGGAGUGAAAUCCGUAGAUAUUGGGAGGAACACCGGUGGCGAAGGCGGCUCUCUGGACCGAUGCUGACGCUGAGACGCGAAAGCGGGGGGAGCAAACAGGAUUAGAUACCUUUGUAGU